GGGUUUAACUUGAGAGGAGCCGCACUCGAAAUGCGGCAUACGGGCAACCGUAUCGGGAGUUCGAAUCUCCCCCUCUCCGCCA
RNAcentral lists this transfer RNA (82 nucleotides) under Microvirga lupini. RNAcentral's name for it is "tRNA-Ser". The record is from RNAcentral. Lineage: Bacteria; Pseudomonadati; Pseudomonadota; Alphaproteobacteria; Hyphomicrobiales; Methylobacteriaceae.